This 308-nucleotide long non-coding RNA is filed under the name Sorghum bicolor (sorghum). Its description in RNAcentral is "long non-coding RNA (SBIC_LNC014895)". The record is from RNAcentral. Lineage: Eukaryota; Viridiplantae; Streptophyta; Magnoliopsida; Poales; Poaceae.
ACCAAUACUGGGCUAAACAUUUCUAACUACCGGGGAGGAGUGCAGUCAAGAAUGAAAACCCUCGAGCCCCAGCCAUAGACCAUACAUGGCGCUCCUUGCCGGCUAUGACGAGAGGGCCAGCAGGGUUCGGAGUUGCUCCAUCAAAGAUACACAUAAUCAACCUCAGUCUGUUACCCUCAAGUUAUAUCAAACCAGUGUGUAUCAUUUUCAAACCAUCUGCAGAAAAGAAGAUGACACCUAAUGUGUUGUCAAUCCAAAAGAAAUAUGAGAAUAGUUCGAAGAUGAUGAAAGUUGCCAAUCGAAUUAGC